CUAAUUUAUUUUUAAAGGGCCAAUCCUUUGAGGGUAGGAACCCAUAUCUUCUCUGACUUUGCCACUGUCCCAGGGGUAGACGGAUCAUGCUGGUGAAGGAGAGGAAUGAGACUCAUGGUCACCCAGGCCACUGAGUACUCUGCCAGGCGGCAGAAUCCCUUGUCUCACUUUCUCUUUAAACUAGAUAGUCUCAAUAAAUUGAUUACAGCCAGCACGAGAACCUUUCUCUGUCUUGAAAAUUCCUACAAGGCCUUCUUAACAGGUUCUUUGAACCCUUCUCUGACUUGUUUUCCUGAGCUCUGGGCUCCCUAGGCUGAGGUAAGUACUCCCACCUCUGUGUUCCCAUGGUGAUGGUCCUUUUAACAAGUGACACUAUUUGAAAAUCGCUUUUCCGUGAGCCCUCCCUGAGCUCCUUGUAUCGAGCUCAGACGCCCACAGAAUGCUUUUCCAAGAUUUAUCUGGCGGGAUCAAUGCCCGGAGGCCAGUGUUGGAAAGCUGCUUUUGAUGCCGAGGCCACGCAGUGGUGACCUGAGGACGCGUGGCUGCGCUCGGACCACCACCACGCGAUGCCCUGAUGGCGGACGAGCCAGGAUUUUCCCUCUUUGCCUCUCGGCUUCCAAGGUCAAGGCAAUACCUGAACAGCCACUUCGCUGCAAGAGCAAGACUGCACCGCUUGCUUCCAGCGGCGGGGGGCAGGGGCAUCUUGCAAAGAUCAAAAAAUCUGCAGCGCCUCCUGUAGGAGCAGCUGCCGGCGUCAGCCCUGAACCCGGGCCGGUGAAGAGCAGAGGCGGGAGAAGGUGGGCAGAGAGCUGGGGAAACCGGAUCUCCUGUCAGUAUGAACAGAAGGUUUUCUCUCCCUGGGUUUCUUUUUUCUCUCCCUUAUUCUUUUUUCCCCUCUUCUCUCCAGACAAAAAUUCCCAGCAGUGUUUCGUUGAUUGUGCUGUUGACUCUGCCUCCUAA
Molecule: long non-coding RNA, 960 nt
Filed under: Sus scrofa (pig)
Lineage: Eukaryota; Metazoa; Chordata; Mammalia; Artiodactyla; Suidae
Description: lncRNA (ENSSSCG00015073250.1)
Source: RNAcentral